This 256-nucleotide small RNA is filed under the name Arabidopsis thaliana (thale cress). RNAcentral describes it as "ATSL023590". Lineage: Eukaryota; Viridiplantae; Streptophyta; Magnoliopsida; Brassicales; Brassicaceae. The record is from RNAcentral.
UUUAACUAAUUCACCAUUACGGACCAAUAUACACUAUUGCGAAUUAAAAAUUUCCAUACUAACACUCACUUGAGCAUAAAACUUUAUAAGAUGAGAAAUUAUAGAUAUAUUUCCCAAAAAGCUUCACACCAAUAUUAAUAUAACAAGGGGAUUGACGUAAAUGACACUAAAAAACUUUAUUAUUCCAAAAAAUGACACCUUUUUUUUGAAAUUUCCAAAAUAGCAUAUAAAAUUUUUAAUCCUCUAUAAAUUAAUU